GACGAACGCUGGCGGCGUGCCUAAUACAUGCAAGUCGAACGCAUUUUCUUUCACCGUAGCUUGCUACACCGACAGAAAAUGAGUGGCGAACGGGUGAGUAACACGUGGGUAACCUGCCCAUCAGCGGGGGAUAACACUUGGAAACAGGUGCUAAUACCGCAUAAUUCCAUUUACUGCAUGGUAGAUGGAUGAAAGGCGCUUUUGCGUCACUGAUGGAUGGACCCGCGGUGCAUUAGCUAGUUGGUGGGGUAACGGCCUACCAAGGCUGCGAUGCAUAGCCGACCUGAGAGGGUGAUCGGCCACACUGGGACUGAGACACGACCCAGACUCCUACGGGAGGCAGCAGUAGGGAAUCUUCGGCAAUGGACGCAAGUCUGACCGAGCAACGCCGCGUGAGUGAAGAAGGUUUUCGGAUCGUAAAACUCUGUUGUUAGAAAAGAACAAGGAUGAGAGUGGAAAGUUCAUCCCUUGACGGUAUCUAACCAGAAAGCCACGGCUAACUACGUG
RNAcentral lists this ribosomal RNA (507 nucleotides) under uncultured bacterium. RNAcentral describes it as "partial 16S ribosomal RNA". It matches the Rfam family "Bacterial small subunit ribosomal RNA", at positions 28 to 507 of the family's 1533-position model. The record is from RNAcentral.